GCUGGCGGCGUGGAUAAGACAUGCAAGUCGAACGAAGAAACUAAAUAGCUUGCUAAUUGGUUUCUUAGUGGCGGACGGGUUAGUAACACGUGAGCAACCUGCCUCGAAGCGGGGGAUAGCCUUUCGAAAGGAAGAUUAAUACCGCAUAUGGUCUACGGAUCAAAGGAGCCUUCGGGUUUCACUUCGAGAUGGGCUCGCGGCCUAUCAGCUAGUUGGUGAGGUAAAGGCUCACCAAGGCAACGACGGGUAGCUGUUCUGAGAGGAAGAUCAGCAACACUGGAACUGAGACACGGUCCAGACACCUACGGGUGGCAGCAGUCGAGAAUCAUUCACAAUGGACGCAAGUCUGAUGGUGCAACGCCGCGUGGAGGAUGAAGGCCCUAGGGUCGUAAACUCCUGUCAUAUAAGAGUAAGGCAUAUGUGGAAUAAUACCCAUGUAUGUUUGAUAGUAUUAUAAGAGGAAGGGACGGCUAACUUCGUGCCAGCAGCCGCGGUAAUACGAAGGUCCCGAGCGUUAUUCGGAAUCACUGGGGCGUAAAGAGUACGUAGGCGGGUCAGGUAAGUCAGAUGUGAAAUCCCGGAGCUCAACUCCGGAACUGCAUCCGAUACUGCUUGACUUGAGUAAUGCAGGGGCAGGUGGAAUUCUCGGUGUACCAAUGAAAUGCGUGAAUAUCGAGAGGAAGACCAAUGGGCGAAGGCACCCUGGCUGGACCUUUACUGACGCUCAGGUACGAAGGCCAGGUAUCCCAAGGGGAUUAGAUACCCCUGUAUCCGGCAGUAACGGGCGCG
RNAcentral lists this ribosomal RNA (789 nucleotides) under uncultured Verrucomicrobiota bacterium. RNAcentral describes it as "bacterial SSU rRNA". It matches the Rfam family "Bacterial small subunit ribosomal RNA", at positions 35 to 813 of the family's 1533-position model. The record is from RNAcentral. Lineage: Bacteria; Pseudomonadati; Verrucomicrobiota.